This 677-nucleotide ribosomal RNA is filed under the name uncultured bacterium. RNAcentral's name for it is "bacterial SSU rRNA". It matches the Rfam family "Bacterial small subunit ribosomal RNA", at positions 202 to 883 of the family's 1533-position model. The record is from RNAcentral.
AAGAUUUAUCGGUGAUGGAUGGGGAUGCGUCUGAUUAGCUUGUUGGCGGGGUAACGGCCCACCAAGGCGACGAUCAGUAGGGGUUCUGAGAGGAAGGUCCCCCACAUUGGAACUGAGACACGGUCCAAACUCCUACGGGAGGCAGCAGUGAGGAAUAUUGGUCAAUGGGCGAGAGCCUGAACCAGCCAAGUAGCGUGCAGGAUGACGGCCCUAUGGGUUGUAAACUGCUUUUAUAAGGGAAUAAAGUGAGUCUCGUGAGACUUUUUGCAUGUACCUUAUGAAUAAGGACCGGCUAAUUCCGUGCCAGCAGCCGCGGUAAUACGGAAGGUCCGGGCGUUAUCCGGAUUUAUUGGGUUUAAAGGGAGCGUAGGCCGGAGAUUAAGCGUGUUGUGAAAUGUAGACGCUCAACGUCUGCACUGCAGCGCGAACUGGUUUCCUUGAGUACGCACAAAGUGGGCGGAAUUCGUGGUGUAGCGGUGAAAUGCUUAGAUAUCACGAAGAACUCCGAUUGCGAAGGCAGCUCACUGGAGCGCAACUGACGCUGAAGCUCGAAAGUGCGGGUAUCGAACAGGAUUAGAUACCCUGGUAGUCCGCACGGUAAACGAUGGAUGCCCGCUGUUGGUCUGAAUAGGUCAGCGGCCAAGCGAAAGCAUUAAGUCAUCCCACCUGGGGAGUAC